Molecule: non-coding RNA, 72 nt
Organism: Ictidomys tridecemlineatus (thirteen-lined ground squirrel)
Lineage: Eukaryota; Metazoa; Chordata; Mammalia; Rodentia; Sciuridae
Source: Rfam
UGGGGUGUGGCUCAGUGGUAGAGUGCUUGCCUUGCACGUAUGAACCUCUGGGUUCAAUUUUCAGCACCACAU